GUCCUUGUUGAUGGCCUCAGGAAUGUUAAGACCCUUGGUCCAACGAAGCAAGUAGCUCUCGGUGAUGGAAACUUGGUUGGCGGGAUAAGAAAAGGUGAAACCCAUAGGAAGGUAUUCCUCCUCAGGGCAGCCAAACUUGGAAGGGAAGUGCUCCUUGAUGAAAAGCUCAACAUGGUCACUCAUAAAGUCAAUGAUGGGCUUAACAGACUCGUUACGAACGCAUUCACGGGGCAAGACGGACUUGCUGUGCUUCAUCUCAUACUUGCCGUCACCGAGAAGUUGGAUCCAACAAACACGCAAGUUGGUACCACCAAAGUCAAGGGCCAAGAAGUCACCAGUUUCAGCGCCGGUGGGAAGGGUAGAGAUAAAGGCAGGAGCCAUAGCAAGCACCUCACCAUUCUUUUGUAAACCCUUUUGACGUAAUUCGUCAAACUCCUUAACGGCCUCUCUCAAGGACUCGGUAGGGUAU
Non-coding RNA from Schizosaccharomyces pombe (fission yeast), 469 nucleotides. Lineage: Eukaryota; Fungi; Ascomycota; Schizosaccharomycetes; Schizosaccharomycetales; Schizosaccharomycetaceae. The record is from the annotation of a GenBank genome assembly.